AGUCGCACGGGCAGUAGCGAUAUUGUCAGUGGCGGACGGGUGAGUAACGCGUAGGAAUCUAUCUUUGGAUGGGGGACAACCGUGGGAAACUACGGCUAAUACCGCAUAACGCCUGAGGGCCAAAGCUUGAGAGAGCGUCUGAAGAGGAGCCUGCGUCUGAUUAGCUAGUUGGUGGGGUAAAGGCCUACCAAGGCUUCGAUCAGUAGCUGGUCUGAGAGGAUGAUCAGCCACAUUGGGACUGAGACACGGCCCAAACUCCUACGGGAGGCAGCAGUGGGGAAUAUUGGACAAUGGGGGCAACCCUGAUCCAGCAAUGCCACGUGUGUGAAGAAGGUCUUCGGAUUGUAAAGCACUUUUGGCAGGGACGAUGAUGACGGUACCUGCAGAAUAAGCCCCGGCUAACUUCGUGCCAGCAGCCGCGGUAAUACGAAGGGGGCUAGCGUUGCUCGGAAUGACUGGGCGUAAAGGGCGCGUAGGCGGCGUACACAGUCAGAAGUGAAAUUCCUGGGCUCAACCUGGGGACUGCUUUUGAUACGUGUGUGCUAGAGUGAGGAAGAGGGUUGUGGAAUUUCCAGUGUGGAGGUGAAAUUCGUAGAUAUUGGAAAGAACACCGGUGGCGAA
Molecule: ribosomal RNA, 621 nt
Filed under: uncultured bacterium
Lineage: Bacteria
Description: bacterial SSU rRNA
Rfam family: Bacterial small subunit ribosomal RNA
Source: RNAcentral